CGCCAACGCCUGCGUUGGGAUCUUGGGGACCGCGAGGGGAGAGAGGACGAAAAUCCUGUUGGGGAGGAAGGACGCACUCGCAGGCUUGUCUCCUGCCUGCUCCCUGGCGAUCUAGGCUCUAGCCCUUCGGCUCCGCUGCCCGCGGCAGCUCUGGACUCAUCCAGUCUGUCCAGCCUCAAGAAGACGAGCCCAAGGGUCAAAGAUGACCCUCGACCCUCGCUCUCUUCCCGCAACUCGGAUGCGACGUGCCUUGCGCGCCGGGGUUCUUGCCCAAGAACGGAGGCGCCCGGGCGCCCCUGCGCGGAACCACCGGGACCGGGCCUAGGGUCCAGAGCCGGGGCCUCGUGCUCGGUGCCGUGCAGAACGCGGCCGGGCCUGGUCCCAGCGCCGAGCACCACGCGCCCAGGGGCCUGCGGAGCCACCGCGACGCCCGGGACGCGCCAGCGCGGCCGGAGGAGAGAGCUCGGCAGGUGCCCGUCGUUCCUGUGGGUUCGUGGUAGCAGCUGCCCCAGGGGCCGGUCCGGUGGGCGAGGGCCCCGGGUACGCCCCGCUUGAGGCCGGUCCUCUCUGCGCGGGCGCGGCGCUGUGGACCAGGGGACCCAAAGAGCCAGGUAAAAAUAGGAGCUUGGGAGCCGAGCUGGAGCCGGGUUCCGACCCGCGGUCACCCGUGUUGGUGGUUGUGCUGGUCUGGCCUGGGGCAAAGGGAAGGAAGAAAACUCGGCCUCUCCUGCGGGGCUCCGGACAAGCCAAGAGAGCCUCGAGGGUCGACUCUGGGCUCAGCGACCGGCCGCACCUGGCGCUCAGACGACGUUUGUUGACCGAAUAAAUGAACUAAUGUAGGCCUGGAGACGUGUUCGCGCAAAGGACA
Non-coding RNA from Equus caballus (horse), 868 nucleotides. The record is from RefSeq and is a predicted model, not a curated record. NCBI's taxonomy places the organism in Eukaryota, Metazoa, Chordata, Mammalia, Perissodactyla, Equidae.